Molecule: ribosomal RNA, 1320 nt
Filed under: Epiperipatus cratensis
Lineage: Eukaryota; Metazoa; Onychophora; Udeonychophora; Euonychophora; Peripatidae
Description: partial small subunit ribosomal RNA
Rfam family: Eukaryotic small subunit ribosomal RNA
Source: RNAcentral
UAGUUGGAUUUGGGUCGACCGGGCCGCCGGGCCGCCGCCUCCGUGCGGCGAGUUCCCGUGUGUCCCCGGGACCGCACGUUCACCCCCGCAGUGCUCUUAACUGAGUGUCUGCGGUAGCGGGUGACCGAACGUUUACCUUGACAAAACCGGAGUGCUCGAGGCGUGGGCGUUCGCCGCCCGUACGUCCUCGCUGGGAAUAAUGGAAGAGGACCGUUGGUCAAAAAAGGUUUUUUGUCAGAGAGGUUGGAGAGCAAAAAAGUGGUUGUGCUGGUGGGAGGUUACAAAGGGGGGUGACUCCCUUUCUCUCGCUGGUCUUCCUCUUUCUCCUCCUCGAAACCUUCCUCCCCGCGUACCGCACUGUGGAUCGGAUGGCGCUUUAUGGCGGUAAGGGUGGUUCUAGAAAGAAAGGUGAAAGCAGGUGGCCGUUUGCCGGAAGGUGAAAGCUGGAUGGCCGGUCGUCUGUGGAAACCUGGACAUCUUUUUCCCCCUCGCUGUCGUGGCGCUUCCGUACCCUCGGUGUCAGCGGGAGGAGGUCGAAAAUCAAAAUAAAAAAACGUGUCAUGAUUAAGAGGGACGGCCGGGGGCAUUCGUACCGCGGCGCGAGAGGUGAAAUUCUAGGACCGUCGCGAGACGAACGAUAGCGAAAGCAUUUGCCAAGAAUGUUUUCCUUAAUCAAGAACGAAAGUCGGAGGUUCGAAGGCGAUCAGAUACCGCCCUAGUUCCGACCUUAAACCAUGCCGUCCGACCGCCCGCCAGGGUUACUACCGCGACUCGGCGGGCGGUGACUUUCCACCGGGAAACCCUUAAGCUUUCGGGUUCCGGGGGAAGUACGGUCGCAAAGCUGAAACUUAAAGGAAUUGACGGAAGGGCACCACCAGGAGUGGAGCCUGCGGCUUAAUUUGACUCAACACGGGGAACCUCACCCGGCCCGGACACCGCGAGGAUUGACAGAUCGAUAGCUCUUUCUCGAUCCGGUGGGUGGUGGUGCAUGGCCGUUCUUAGUUGGUGGAGCGAUCUGUCUGGUUAAUUCCGAUAACGAACGAGACUCUAGCCGGUUAAGUAGCCCGAGUGGCGUGUUGUUGAUUAAAAAACCGCCCUAGCGGCACUCGGGGCGCUUCUCUGAAGCUGUCUGGCUUUAACUGUGGUGGGACAGGGAGGUGGAAGAUGACGGUCGGGGUCGCGUGUGUCGUGGCUCGGAUCUAGUUUUUUUAACUUCUCUUAAAUCCCGUCGCGUUUCUGCCUUUCACUUCUGAGGACCUCUGUUUGCUUACCUGGGGUAGAUAAAACGUUAACGAGAGUCGGGGGACAGUGGACGUUACU